AUUGAACGCUGGCGGCAUGCCUUACACAUGCCAGUCGAACGGUAACAGGUUAAGCUGACGAGUGGCGAACGGGUGAGUAAUGUAUCGGAACGUGCCCAGUCGUGGGGGAUAACUGCUCGAAAGAGCAGCUAAUACCGCAUACGACCUGAGGGUGAAAGCGGGGGAUCGCAAGACCUCGCUCGAUUGGAGCGGCCGAUAUCAGAUUAGGUAGUUGGUGAGGUAAAGGCUCACCAAGCCGACGAUCUGUAGCUGGUCUGAGAGGACGACCAGCCACACUGGGACUGAGACACGGCCCAGACUCCUACGGGAGGCAGCAGUGGGGAAUUUUGGACAAUGGGCGCAAGCCUGAUCCAGCCAUGCCGCGUGCGGGAAGAAGGCCUUCGGGUUGUAAACCGCUUUUGUCAGGGAAGAAAAGGUUCUGGCUAAUACCUGGGACUCAUGACGGUACCUGAAGAAUAAGCACCGGCUAACUACGUG
Molecule: ribosomal RNA, 477 nt
Filed under: uncultured bacterium
Lineage: Bacteria
Description: partial 16S ribosomal RNA
Rfam family: Bacterial small subunit ribosomal RNA
Source: RNAcentral